This 372-nucleotide ribosomal RNA is filed under the name uncultured organism. RNAcentral describes it as "bacterial SSU rRNA". It matches the Rfam family "Bacterial small subunit ribosomal RNA", at positions 526 to 896 of the family's 1533-position model. The record is from RNAcentral.
CGUAGGGGGCAAGCGUUGUCCGGAUUUACUGGGCGUAAAGAGCGUGUAGGCGGCCAGGCAGGUCUGUUGUGAAAACUGGAGGCUCAACCUCCAGACGUCGACAGAAACCGUCUGGCUAGAGUCCGGAAGAGGAGAGUGGAAUUCCUGGUGUAGCGGUGAAAUGCGCAGAUAUCAGGAAGAACACCGAUGGCGAAGGCAGCUCUCUGGGACGGUACUGACGCUGAGACGCGAAAGCGUGGGGAGCAAACAGGAUUAGAUACCCUGGUAGUCCACGCCGUAAACGAUGGGUGCUAGGUGUGGGAGGUGUCGACUCCUCCCGUGCCGCAGCUAACGCAUUAAGCACCCCGCCUGGGGAGUACGGCCGCAAGGCUA